AUGCAUGUCUAAGAACAUAUGUGUAAACAUGAAUCUGCGAACGGCUCAUUAUUAACACCCAUAAUCUACCCAGUUUUCGUAUCCAAAACGGAUAUCUGCGUUAAUUUUGGAGCUAAUACGUGCACCAACGUGCUGCUAGCAAUAGUGGCACGCACUUAUUAGAUCAAGGCCGAUUGGGGCAACCCUUUUGGUGACUCUGAAUAAUUUUGCGGAUCGUAUGGUCUUGUACCGACGACGUACUGGUCGAGUGGGUGCCCUAUCAACUAUUGAUGGAAGUCUAUGUGUCUUCCAUGGUUGUAACGGGUAACGGAGAAUAAGGGUUCGACUCCGGAGAGCUAGCCUUAGAAACGGCUAUCACA
This 359-nucleotide ribosomal RNA is filed under the name Pristionchus pacificus. RNAcentral's name for it is "SSU rRNA". It matches the Rfam family "Eukaryotic small subunit ribosomal RNA", at positions 51 to 414 of the family's 1831-position model. The record is from RNAcentral. Lineage: Eukaryota; Metazoa; Nematoda; Chromadorea; Rhabditida; Neodiplogasteridae.